CCUACGGGUGGCAGCAGUGGGGAAUAUUGCACAAUGGGGGAAACCCUGAUGCAGCGACGCCGCGUGAGUGAAGAAGUAUCUCGGUACGUAAAGCUCUAUCAGCAGGGAAGAAAAUGACGGUACCGGACUAAGAAGCCCGGCGAACGACGGGCCAGCAGCCGCGGUAAUAGGUAGGGGGCAAGCGUUAUCCGGAUUUACUGGGUGUAAAGGGAGCGGAGACGGCAGCACGAGGCUGGAGUGAAAUCCCGGGGCUUAACCCCGGAACUGCGUUGGAAACUGUGCGGCUGGAGUGCAGGAGGGGUAAGCGGAAUUCCUAGUGUAGCGGUGAAAUGCGUAGAUCUUAGGCGGAACCCCGGUGGCGAAGGCGGCUUACUGGACUGUCACUGACGUUGAGGCUCGAAAGCGUGGGGAGCAAACAGGAUUAGAUACCCCUGUAGUC
Molecule: ribosomal RNA, 439 nt
Filed under: uncultured bacterium
Lineage: Bacteria
Description: partial 16S ribosomal RNA
Rfam family: Bacterial small subunit ribosomal RNA
Source: RNAcentral